Long non-coding RNA from Vigna radiata var. radiata (mung bean), 539 nucleotides. RefSeq lists it as uncharacterized. The record is from RefSeq and is a predicted model, not a curated record. NCBI's taxonomy places the organism in Eukaryota, Viridiplantae, Streptophyta, Magnoliopsida, Fabales, Fabaceae. The transcript has 3 exons.
AAAAGUCAAAUUCUUCAUUUGUUGCUUUUUCAUUCUCUCUCUAAAACUUAGGUCUUCCAGUUUCCCUAAACUUAGCUCUGUCUUCUCUCUAAAAUCCCAGCUCAUUGAACCCAUUAAAUUUUGAUUUAAAGGUGCUCUAGCGUUCACCUCACCAAGGGCUCCAUUUUGAACCGAUCAUUUUCCUCAUCCUUCCCGGUUCUGUCAAGCUCCGUUCUGUGUGGAGGGUGCUAUUAGGGCGUCUUCAAUUAGCUUAUUUUGAGAAACCCAGACAUCGAGGAGGAUACUCUGGAAACAACUCUUGAUGGGGACGACAGUGCUGUAGCUUAGAUUUGCUAGCUUUUAUUUCCAUGAGCUCAUAUUAUUUUGAAGAACUUUAGUGCAUUUAAAGUUUUAAAUUCUCUGUAUUUUAAGGGAGAAACUCUAGUACUCCAAGUUUCCAAAUUGUACUGUUUAAGGAUGACUGUAAUCCUUAUAUACUUAAGUACAUCUCUAACUGCUUUCUAGUAUUGUAUGUGAUGACGUCUUAUUUUAUAUGCAUG